UACGUAGGUCCCGAGCGUUGUCCGGAUUUAUUGGGCGUAAAGCGAGCGCAGGUGGUUUAUUAAGUCUGGUGUAAAAGGCAGAGGCUCAACCAUUAUAUGCAUUGGAAACUGGUAGACUUGAGUGCAGGAGAGGAGAGUGGAAUUCCAUGUGUAGCGGUGAAAUGCGUAGAUAUAUGGAGGAACACCGGUGGCGAAAGCGGCUCUCUGGCCUGUAACUGACACUGAGGCUCGAAAGCGUGGGGAGCAAACAGG
This 252-nucleotide ribosomal RNA is filed under the name uncultured bacterium. Its description in RNAcentral is "partial 16S ribosomal RNA". It matches the Rfam family "Bacterial small subunit ribosomal RNA", at positions 524 to 776 of the family's 1533-position model. The record is from RNAcentral.